Molecule: ribosomal RNA, 253 nt
Filed under: uncultured bacterium
Lineage: Bacteria
Description: partial 16S ribosomal RNA
Rfam family: Bacterial small subunit ribosomal RNA
Source: RNAcentral
UACGUAGGGUGCAAGCGUUAAUCGGAAUUACUGGGCGUAAAGCGUGCGCAGGCGGUGAUGUAAGACAGUUGUGAAAUCCCCGGACUCAACCUGGGAACUGCAUCUGUGACUGCAUCGCUGGAGUGCGGCAGAGGGGGAUGGAAUUCCGCGUGUAGCAGUGAAAUGCGUAGAUAUGCGGAGGAACACCGAUGGCGAAGGCAAUCCCCUGGGCCUGCACUGACGCUCAUGCACGAAAGCGUGGGGAGCAAACAGG